CUGGCCGUAAACGAUGAACACUAGAUGUUGGGGGAAUCGACCCCCUCGGUGUCGUAGCUAACGCGUUAAGUGUUCCGCCUGGGGAGUACGCACGCAAGUGUGAAACUCAAAGGAAUUGACGGGGGCCCGCACAAGCGGUGGAGUAUGUGGUUUAAUUCGAUGCAACGCGAAGAACCUUACCAAGGCUUGACAUCCUGCGAAUCUCCAAGAAAUUGGAGAGUGCCUUUUGGAACGCAGUGACAGGUGGUGCAUGGCUGUCGUCAGCUCGUGUCGUGAGAUGUUGGGUUAAGUCCCGCAACGAGCGCAACCCACGUUUUUAGUUGCCAGCAUUCAGUUGGGCACUCUAGAAAGACUGCCGGUGACAAACUGGAGGAAGGUGUGGACGACGUCAAGUCAUCAUGCCCCUUACGCCUUGGGCUACACACGUACUACAAUGCUGCGGACAAAGAGUAGCGAUCUUGCGAAAGUUAGCUAAUCUCGUAAACCGUGGCUCAGUUCAGAUCGUAGGCUGCAACUCGCCUACGUGAAGGAGGAAUCGCUAGUAAUCGCAGGUCAGCAUACUGCGGUGAAUACGUUCCCGGGCCUUGUACACACCGCCCGUCACACCAUGGAAGUUGGCCAUGCCCGAAGUCGUUACUCUAACCUUUUGGAAGAGGGCGCCUAAGGCAGGGCUAAUGACUGGGGUGAAGUCGUAACAAGGUAGCCGUAGCGGAAGCUGCGGCUGGAUCACCUCCUAA
This 737-nucleotide ribosomal RNA is filed under the name Candidatus Synechococcus spongiarum. Its description in RNAcentral is "bacterial SSU rRNA". It matches the Rfam family "Bacterial small subunit ribosomal RNA", at positions 796 to 1533 of the family's 1533-position model. The record is from RNAcentral. Lineage: Bacteria; Bacillati; Cyanobacteriota; Cyanophyceae; Synechococcales; Synechococcaceae.